RNAcentral lists this long non-coding RNA (2164 nucleotides) under Homo sapiens (human). RNAcentral's name for it is "HSALNT0394821". Lineage: Eukaryota; Metazoa; Chordata; Mammalia; Primates; Hominidae. The record is from RNAcentral.
CCUCGGUUCAAGUCAUUGGUCCACCUCGGCCUCCCAAAGUGCUGGGAUUACAGGUGUGAGCCACCGUGCCCAGCGCGUUUUCUUUAAGGGGUAGAUGCCGGUGGCCGUCAUCAAAGUAAUUCUAAUGCUAUUUAAAAUUCUUAUCUCUUGAGAAGAAUAGAGAUGAUCCUUUAAUGUUCUUUUACACAUUUUUCAAUGUUUUCCUUGCAACUGUAACAAGCAAACUCAUGUCAUCAAUAGCCAUAUUAUGACCGUAAUCAGUGAUCAGUAUGUGGAAGGAAGCCUAACUUGGUGACUAACAGCACACACAUGGCUUUAAACCUGGCUCAGUCACUUACCACUGCAUGACCUUGCGCAAGCUGCUAAAUGCCUCUGUGCCUCAGUUUUUUUCAUCUAUAAAAUGGGGCUAAUGAUAGUGCAUACCUCAUUAGGUUCUUGGGAGUAUAAAAUAUGUUACUAUAUACGACAUGCUUAAAACAGUGACGGGCACAUGGUAAGUGUGAGCUCUCAUACUAAUGAAUGAAUAACUCAUUGAACUAAGCAACACCAAGCAGACAAGGCAGCAUCUAGAAACUUGGGUUUUCAAUGGGCUACAAUAAUAUAGCAAUGAGCUUGGAAUGGUGCCUUGUGCAUAGUCAGUGUUCAAUGUUAGCAACUCGUAAUAUGGACACCUGGGCCCCACUUUUGCUUGGAACUGUUUUAUAUGACCUUGACUUAAUCCAUCCAAAGCUCAGCUACAUUACAUUUUGCUUCCUUUCUUCCAUCUUUGGUGUUUAUGCGGAAAAGACCCAACCCCAGGUCAGAGAAAGUCCUCCACUAACACUGUGAGAUGCAAGUCACAUUCGGUAUAUGACCAGUAAAUUGGGUCCCACUUUGGAGUUCUUCUCCCAUUUCAUUAUCCUUCUGCAAAUUUUCCUUGUGUCUGCCCUUUAUAUGUGCUCAAGACUUCAAAUCAUGGGGCCAUCUGCACUCUUUAAAACUUUCAUUCAGUCGUACUUCUAUUUUGCACAUAAGGAAACACAAGUACAAACGAUAAUGUGCAAAGCAGGUAUGAAAUUAAUCAGGCUUGUCAUGGACGGUCACUGGGCUCACAAGCUACAGGUCGCACAUGGGUGACUGUCAACAGUUGGCUGGACACUGAUAGAGAGUUACACCAAUCGAGUGUCUUCUUCCAAAAACUUAGAAUCAGGUAGACGCCAAUGUUUUCUUAGGUAUUCUUAGUAAAUAGACUUUUUUGAGCAGAUUAGAAAAGGAACGAUUUAUUUUUGAAAUAAUGCUAGUAAAAUAUAUAAAUUCAGCUUUUAUGAGAUUUUCUUACUGUUAUAAUGUUUUCCUCUAUUCUGAAUUCAAAGUGAACUUUUAAAAUGUCUAAAAACCAUGCUUUGCCUAAGUAUUCAUAAGCCAUGUGUGAUACGUGUCCAUCAUUUGACAAUGGCCAGAGUUUACUAGUGUAAUUUUCAAGUAUCAGUCCCUGUGCCAGGUUAAUGGAUUUAAGAAAAAAAACAAAAACCAACACCUUAAUUUCUAAGAUCUGGCCUUUUAACCUUUUAGGAAAUGAAAGGAUUUAAAUAGCCUGCUGAUAUAUCUCAUAGUGUGUCUACCCUGCAAUUCCACUAGCACGGUGUGAAUGAGCCUGAUUCACUGCUGGAGUGAGGGAGGUUAGGAGAUCCUGAUAAACUCAGAUAACAUGUAAAGAAAAUGCUUAGCAACUGGUGGCCCAGGAGCAUUCAGAAGGCUUGCAAGGGCAAAGCACUUAUAAUCAUGAAAUGAGAAGGGAUGUUACUGACAAUAACCAACUGAUUGAUAACAUCUAGUUAUAAUAGAGUCUAGUUAAGUGCACUCACAAAACAGCUAUAUGAUGCCACAGGUAAAAUGAAACUUUGAAAGAAAGCUAGUCCAUAUAUGGUAAAUAUGCUUCAAGCUGUAAGAGAUAAAAAUAAUAAAUAUGGCCAGGCACAUAGCUCAUGCCUGUGAUCCCAGCACUUGGGAGGCCAAAGCUGGAGGAUUCCUUGAGCCUUGAAGUUUGAGACUAGCCUAGGUGACAGAGCAAGACCUUGUCUCUACAAAAAAUUAAAAGAAAAAAAUUAUCUGGGAGUGGUGGCACAGGCCUGUAGUCCCACAUACUCAUGAGGCCCAGGCAGAAGGAUUGCUUGAGUCCAGGGGU